This is an RNA transcript of Cydia fagiglandana, 1751 nucleotides long. RefSeq lists it as uncharacterized. Lineage: Eukaryota; Metazoa; Arthropoda; Insecta; Lepidoptera; Tortricidae. The record is from RefSeq and is a predicted model, not a curated record. The transcript has 7 exons.
AUCUCCUAAAUAAAGAUGCGGGUUUUCUACCGAGUUGCGCUACUGUUUUUUACGUAGCUGUGCCUGCGCGCUCCAUAGCCGCGUAGACCUCAGUCUUGCUACGCCAACCGCCUCGGCUGCUACGACGCGUAGCGGUCACGGAUGGCCGUUUGCUACGAAUGCUACGGAACUAAAACUUUAGCUCGACUCGGCUAAAAAGUGUGUGUAAUUUAGUAAAAAAAUAGAUUGUUAGUGCACUAAUUUUAGUGUUUGUGUUUGGUGAGUGUGAACACGGACCGGUGUCCAAAUUGCAAAAGCAACGAACGAUGACUUCUUUAUUUUGCAGGCUAUGAGGCGGCGCAUACGCGGCCUCGCCCGGGCGCCAUGUGGAGCGCAUGCGUGAUCCUGCUCGCACAGAUAGUUGUAUGCCAGUUUGCUACAGAUAACCCUACAACACUAACAACAGAAGAGCAAACGGUCUCAUCAUUCUACCCUCUCAGUUCAGUACAAUCCCCUGCCCCAAUAAUGCUGCGCCUGGGCAAGUCCACCAUCGACAGCACUAAAUCUUUCAAAGUACCUCAGCCAUCUCCACAGCCCACAACCCAGUCGAGCUCAGACCGGCCGGCAGCUUUAGGCAAAAUUGUGGUGCCCCAUGUCGUGUCAGUAUCGAGAAACACGUACUUUGACCAUGAUCGGAGAUACGGGCCGACGUUUGAAGAUGUUCCUGAUGGAAAUGUUACUAAGAUAACUGUGCAGUUGGGAGAGGAUGCGCAUUUGAACUGCAGGAUCAGUCUGCUUCAGGAUAAAACGGUAUCCUGGGUCCGGCGCAGAGGCAAAGACGAAAUGCCGGAGCUCCUCACAGUCGGCGCAGUGACAUACGCGGCUGACGACCGCAUCUCUGUAGCCAAGCGGUAUCCUGGCAACUGGCGGCUCCUCAUUAGGGAGGUGAAACCGGCGGAUGAGGGAGUGUACGAGUGCCAGAUAUCCACGCACCCGCCAAGGGUCAGCAGGACCUAUUUGCAUGUUAACACUCCACAAGUAUGGGUUGUCGACGAGGCCGGCAACCCGCUCCUAGAGAAGUUUUACGAGGCCGAAUCCACUUUGGCACUGGUCUGCCGAGCGAGACACGUGGACACCCCAGCGGUGCUGAUCUGGCUCCAUGAAGGAAGGGCACUGAAUGCUGAUACUACUAGAGGAGGAAUCAGCGUCAAAACCGAGCAAGUCCCAGGCGGCGCGGACAGCCUGCUUCGCCUCGCACGAGUGAACAGCAGUGACGCCGGGAACUACACGUGCGCCGUGCGAGGAGCUCGCCCCCACACCGUGUCCGUGCACGUGCUCAAUGGUACGGUCUAACUCACAGCGUCAAGACCUAGCAAAUCCCAGGCGGCGCGGACAGCCUGCUUCGCCUCGCACGAGUGAACAGCAGUGACGCCGGGAACUACACGUGCGCCGUGCGAGGAGCUCGCCCCCACACCGUGUCCGUGCACGUGCUCAAUGAAAGCCUAGCCGAGCUGCACGCCGGGUCAGCACACCACCCGGUUUCCGCAACCACAAUAACGAUAGCGUUAAUAACGUUAACCGUUAUAACGUACGACAUAACGUCGUUAACGCCGUUGCUCGUCGCAUCACUAGUCUGCGUGACGGAGGGCCCAUCGAACGAAAAUGUUAUGGUACUACCCACGUGAUAAAUAAUAUUGUGUAAAUAAAUUAAGAGAUUAUUUAAUAAAUAUUAUAAUUAACGGUUACGGGGAAAUAAAAUUUCAUUAUAACUA